AGUAAAAGUCGUAACAAGGUUUCCGUAGGUGAACCUGCGGAAGGAUCAUUAUCGAGUUACUAUUGACUUUGAUGCUGGCCGCUUGCGGCAUGUGCUCGAGUCUUUAAAUCCACUCAACCACUGUGCACUAAUUCGAAAGCUUCGCGGUUCAGGCUCCUUCCUUCGGGGGGUCGAGUUCGGGCUUGCGGGGUUUUCGAGCUUCAUACAAACCACAUAUUGUCAUGUCGAAUGUAAUACUUUAUUAAAAAUACAACUUUCAACAACGGAUCUCUUGGCUCUCGCAUCGAUGAAGAACGCAGCGAAAUGCGAUGAGUAAUGUGAAUUGCAGAAUUCAGUGAAUCAUCGAAUCUUUGAACGCACCUUGCGCUCUUUGGUAUUCCGAAGAGCAUGCCUGUUUGAGUGUCAUGUAAUCAUCAAUCCGACUUCGCUUUUUGUGAAGCUCGGACUUGGACUUGGAGGUUCUUGCUGGCUUUCCGUCGGCUCCUCUUGAAUGCAUUAGCUGGACUCCGUCGCGGUUCGCGGUGUGAUAACUUAUUCACCCUUGAACUUCGAAGUAAGACCGGCUUCUAAAACCCCUUUACUUUUGACCAUCUGGCCUCAAAUCAGGUAGGACUACCCGCUGAACUUAAGCAUAUCAAUAAGCGGAGGA
This 649-nucleotide ribosomal RNA is filed under the name uncultured fungus. RNAcentral's name for it is "eukaryotic LSU rRNA". The stretch from base 252 to 405 matches the Rfam family "5.8S ribosomal RNA". The record is from RNAcentral. Lineage: Eukaryota; Fungi.